This is a non-coding RNA of Oryza sativa Japonica Group (Japanese rice), 541 nucleotides long. The record is from RefSeq and is a predicted model, not a curated record. Lineage: Eukaryota; Viridiplantae; Streptophyta; Magnoliopsida; Poales; Poaceae.
GUAAAAUAGUACUAGAUGAUGAUAAGUUGCCAAUUCCAAAUGAAGAAUUUAAUCCUGUGAAUAAGUCUACCAUUUUGAAUUCUUCAGAAGAGAUUAAACAUAUCAACAUUGAUGAAAUAAUGACAAAGAUGAACAAAACAGGUCAUGUUCCUAUUAAUCCACCAGAUGAAACAGAGAAAAAUUCUGCCUUGACUGCUCGAAACAAUCAAGUUUUUCAUGAUCAACCGUCUUUUAAAAUCUAGGAUUCUGAUGAUGACCUCCAUCAUGAAAAUGAUGAUUUCAAAAAAGAAAUUACACCUGCUCAUCUUGUAGAUUCAUAUCAAGUUAUUCCUGAUUCAUACUCCCCAAAUCCUGUUUUAAGAAAUAAGAUCACUCCAAGAAAGUUGUCUCAAACUUUUGCUGCUGCUGUUGAAAGCCCAAUAAUCUGUUCAGACAGUCCGGAUAAGAUGUACAUGGUGACACUUGAAAAUUCAACUUCUCCUAAUGCUUCUCUCAAUGAAAACAAAGAAAAUGAAAAAGUUUGUCACAUCAUAAAGGUAUG